CCUACGGGUGGCAGCAGUGGGGAAUAUUGGGCAAUGGGCGAAAGCCUGACCCAGCAACGCCGCGUGAAGGAAGAAGGCUUUCGGGUUGUAAACUUCUUUUGACAGGGAAGAGCAGAAGACGGUACCUGUCGAAUAAGCCACGGCUAACUACGUGCCAGCAGCCGAGGUCAUACGUAGGUGGCAAGCGUUGUCCGGAUUUACUGGGUGGAAAGGGCGUGUAGCCGGGCUGACAAGUCAGAUGUGAAAUCCGGGGGCUCAACCCCCGAACUGCAUUUGAAACUGGUGGUCUUGAGUAUCGGAGAGGCAGGCGGAAUUCCUAGUGUAGCGGUGAAAUGCGUAGAUAUUAGGAGGAACACCAGUGGCGAAGGCGGCCUGCUGGACGACAACUGACGGUGAGGCGCGAAAGCGUGGGGAGCAAACAGGAUUAGAUACCCUAGUAGUC
RNAcentral lists this ribosomal RNA (442 nucleotides) under uncultured bacterium. RNAcentral's name for it is "partial 16S ribosomal RNA". It matches the Rfam family "Bacterial small subunit ribosomal RNA", at positions 338 to 795 of the family's 1533-position model. The record is from RNAcentral.